RNAcentral lists this ribosomal RNA (261 nucleotides) under uncultured bacterium. RNAcentral's name for it is "partial 16S ribosomal RNA". It matches the Rfam family "Bacterial small subunit ribosomal RNA", at positions 99 to 354 of the family's 1533-position model. The record is from RNAcentral.
CGGACGGGUGAGUAACACGUGGGUAACCUGCCCAAGAGACUGGGAUAACACCUGGAAACAGAUGCUAAUACCGGAUAACAACACUAGACGCAUGUCUAGAGUUUAAAAGAUGGUUCUGCUAUCACUCUUGGAUGGACCUGCGGUGCAUUAGCUAGUUGGUGAGGUAACGGCUCACCAAGGCGACGAUACAUAGGGGGACUGAGAGGUCAACCCCCCACAUUGGUACUGAGACACGGACCAAACUCCUACGGAAGGCAGCAG